This 73-nucleotide transfer RNA is filed under the name Neotoma lepida (desert woodrat). It matches the Rfam family "tRNA". From Rfam's summary of the family: Transfer RNA (tRNA) molecules are approximately 80 nucleotides in length. Their secondary structure includes four short double-helical elements and three loops (D, anti-codon, and T loops). Further hydrogen bonds mediate the characteristic L-shaped molecular structure. tRNAs have two regions of fundamental functional importance: the anti-codon, which is responsible for specific mRNA codon recognition, and the 3' end, to which the tRNAs corresponding amino acid is attached (by aminoacyl-tRNA synthetases). tRNAs cope with the degeneracy of the genetic code in two manners: having more than one tRNA (with a specific anti-codon) for a particular amino acid; and 'wobble' base-pairing, i.e. permitting non-standard base-pairing at the 3rd anti-codon position. Lineage: Eukaryota; Metazoa; Chordata; Mammalia; Rodentia; Cricetidae. The record is from Rfam by way of RNAcentral.
GGAGAGGUGGCUCAGUGGUUAAGAGCACUGGCUGCACAUGGAGAGGGUCCAGGUUCAAUUCCUGGCACCUACA